This 527-nucleotide ribosomal RNA is filed under the name uncultured bacterium. RNAcentral's name for it is "partial 16S ribosomal RNA". It matches the Rfam family "Bacterial small subunit ribosomal RNA", at positions 355 to 871 of the family's 1533-position model. The record is from RNAcentral.
UGGGGAAUAUUGCACAAUGGGCGCAAGCCUGAUGCAGCCAUGCCGCGUGUGUGAAGAAGGCCUUCGGGUUGUAAAGCACUUUCAGCGAGGAGGAAGGUGGUGAGCUUAAUACGCUCAUCAAUUGACGUUACUCGCAGAAGAAGCACCGGCUAACUCCGUGCCAGCAGCCGCGGUAAUACGGAGGGUGCAAGCGUUAAUCGGAAUUACUGGGCGUAAAGCGCACGCAGGCGGUUUGUUAAGUCAGAUGUGAAAUCCCCGGGCUCAACCUGGGAACUGCAUUUGAAACUGGCAAGCUAGAGUCUCGUAGAGGGGGGUAGAAUUCCAGGUGUAGCGGUGAAAUGCGUAGAGAUCUGGAGGAAUACCGGUGGCGAAGGCGGCCCCCUGGACGAAGACUGACGCUCAGGUGCGAAAGCGUGGGGAGCAAACAAGAUUAGAUACCCUGGUAGUCCACGCUGUAAAACGAUGUCGAUUUUGGAGGUUGUGCCCCUUGAGGCGUGGCUUCCGGAGCUAACGCGUUAAAUCGACCG